GGAGAGGUGCCGGAGUGGCCGAACGGGCACGACUGGAAAUCGUGUGUUGGGUAUCCCCCAACCGAGGGUUCGAAUCCCUCUCUCUCCG
Molecule: transfer RNA, 88 nt
Filed under: Chloroflexota bacterium
Lineage: Bacteria; Bacillati; Chloroflexota
Description: tRNA-Ser
Rfam family: tRNA
About the family: Transfer RNA (tRNA) molecules are approximately 80 nucleotides in length.
Source: RNAcentral